CCUACGGGGUGCAACAGUGGGGAAUUUUGGACAAUGGGCGCAAGCCUGAUCCAGCUAUUCCGCGUGUGGGAUGACGGCCUUCGGGUUGUAAACCACUUUUGUAGAGAACGAAAAGUCUGUUGAUAAUACCGAUAGAUGAUGACGGUACUCUAAGAAUAAGCACCGGCUAACUACGUGCCAGCAGCCGCGGUAAUACGUAGGGUGCGAGCGUUAAUCGGAAUUACUGGGCGUAAAGGGUGUGCAGGCGGUGUUGCAAGAUGGAUGUGAAAGCCCCGGGCUUAACCUGGGAAAGCCAUACAUGACUGCAAGACUAGAGUGCGUCAGAGGGGGGUGGAAUUCCAAGUGUAGCAGUGAAAUGCGUAGAUAUUUGGAAGAACACCGAUGGCGAAGGCAGCCCCCUGGGACGCAACUGACGCUCAUACACGAAAGCGUGGGGAGCAAACAGGAUUAGAUACCCGGGUAGUC
This 465-nucleotide ribosomal RNA is filed under the name uncultured bacterium. RNAcentral describes it as "partial 16S ribosomal RNA". It matches the Rfam family "Bacterial small subunit ribosomal RNA", at positions 338 to 795 of the family's 1533-position model. The record is from RNAcentral.